Molecule: long non-coding RNA, 994 nt
Filed under: Rhinopithecus bieti (black snub-nosed monkey)
Lineage: Eukaryota; Metazoa; Chordata; Mammalia; Primates; Cercopithecidae
Description: lncRNA (ENSRBIG00000045019.1)
Source: RNAcentral
UUGAAACAAGAGAUGCUCUUUAAGGAUUAGUUGUAUUUUCAAAAACCACAUCAGAUGGAAAACGGAGAGUCACAGAAACUCUGGGCUUGGCUUUGAGUUGGAAGAUGUUGCAAUGAUCUGAACCAGCAGUGACCUCAGAGAUGGUGGCCCUGGAAAGGAUUGGCUCUCACCUGAGCUUCCACCUUGAGUUAAGGACACAGCCUGGCUCCUGUCUACGGAUCAGUUAAGCAUUGCAAUCAUGGAGCCAAAACCUCACAAACUGGAGUGGUUCAUAGCACUGUAAGGACAGCUUAACAAUCCUGUCCUCAGGCAAAGGUUUCAUGAUGAAGACACUAGAAGCAAUAGCAACAGAAGCAAUCCUCACCAACACUUGAUAUUUUCUUUCUUUUGAUAGUAGCUCUCCUAAUGUGAGGUGGUGUCUCACUGUAUCCUGUGCCGUUUUGAUGAAGGAACAUCAGAUCAUGCUUCCUCUGCUGAACACCCUCUCAAGAGUAAAAGCCUCGGCCUUCCUGGUGGCCUCCCAAGCCUGAAGGAUCCCUGGUGACCUCUGGCCUCAUCUCUGGAUGAUGCCCUGUCCUUCCCCCAAGCUGUUUCCCAAGCCCACCUAGCAGCCCCGAUGUCCUUCUGUAUCUGCCUGAUGUCUCCGCUUCACCAGGACUUCAUAUAAGGUGGAGGUGAAGGUCAAGUGCAGAGCCCUCCUGGCACAUCCAGUGCUCUCUCUGUCAUGGAGAGGGCUGAGGAGGGAGAAUGGUGCUUCCAGGAAAGCAGAGCUGAGGCCCGCUGGACUCCAGGCAGCUCUCUGCUCUCCUUGCCUUUUGCCUCAGGUAAAAAAAAAUAAGUGCAAUGGCUCAGAACACAGUCACCCUCCUCGUUCCCUCUUGGCUAGGAUGGAAGGCAUUGCUAACAGGGGAUAGUGGUGACUGGAGAGGCCUUGCAGUGUCCCAUUUGCAGAAGCCACUGGGAUGGUGAUUUCUGCAGAGUGGGAGGGGUGAGA